GGAGAGAUGGCAGAGUGGCUGAAUGCGCAUCCUUGCUAAGGUUGUGAUUGGAGUUUAUCCGAUCCGAGGGUUCGAAUCCCUCUCUCUCCGCCA
This 93-nucleotide transfer RNA is filed under the name Pseudomonadota bacterium. Its description in RNAcentral is "Proteobacteria bacterium tRNA-Ser". It matches the Rfam family "tRNA". Rfam says of the family: Transfer RNA (tRNA) molecules are approximately 80 nucleotides in length. Their secondary structure includes four short double-helical elements and three loops (D, anti-codon, and T loops). The record is from RNAcentral. Lineage: Bacteria; Pseudomonadati; Pseudomonadota.